Molecule: ribosomal RNA, 253 nt
Filed under: uncultured bacterium
Lineage: Bacteria
Description: partial 16S ribosomal RNA
Rfam family: Bacterial small subunit ribosomal RNA
Source: RNAcentral
UACGAAAGGGGCUAGCGUUGUUCGGAAUUACUGGGCGUAAAGCGCACGUAGGCGGCAUUGUAAGAUGGGGGUGAAAUCCCCGGGCUCAACCCGGGAAUUGCCUUCAUGACUGCAAAGCUCGAGGAUGCGAGAGGUGAAUGGAAUUCCGAGUGUAGAGGUGAAAUUCGUAGAUAUUCGGAAGAACACCAGUGGCGAAGGCGAUUCACUGGCGCAUUUCUGACGCUGAGGUGCGAAAGCGUGGGGAGCAAACAGG